ACUUURCAAUGCGGGAAACCGUGACAGGGGAACUCCGAGUGCCCGUUAAAUCGGGCUGUCCAUCAGUUUAAAUAACUGGUGAAGAAAGGGCCGGGCAAGACCGGUGCCAGCCGCCGCGGUAAUACCGGCGGCUCGAGUGGUGGCCACUAUUACUGGGCUUAAAGCGUUCGUAGCUGGUUUGUUAAGUCUCUGGGGAAAUCUUCCGGCUUAACCGGAAGGCGUCUCAGGGAUACUGGCAGACUAGGGACCGGGCAGAGGUGAGGGGUACUCCAGGGGUAGGA
Molecule: ribosomal RNA, 281 nt
Filed under: uncultured archaeon
Lineage: Archaea
Description: partial 16S ribosomal RNA
Rfam family: Archaeal small subunit ribosomal RNA
Source: RNAcentral